UACGGGAGGCAGCAGUGGGGAAUAUUGCACAAUGGGCGCAAGCCUGAUGCAGCCAUGCCGCGUGUAUGAAAAAGGCCUUCGGGUUGUAAAGUACUUUCAGUCGUGAGGAAGGUGUUAAGGUUAAUAACCUUAGCAAUUGACGUUAGCGACAGAAGAAGCACCGGCUAACUCCGUGCCAGCAGCCGCGGUAAUACGGAGGGUGCGAGCGUUAAUCGGAAAUUACUGGGCGUAAAGGGCACGCAGGCGGUUAAUUAAGUUGGAUGUGAAAUCCCCGGGCUUAACCUGGGAAUGGCAUUCAAGACUGGUUAGCUAGAGUCUUGUAGAGGGGGUAGAAUUCCAUGUGUAGCGGUGAAAUGCGUAGAGAUGUGGAGGAAUACCGGUGGCGAAGGCGGCCCCUGGACAAAAGACUGACGCUCAUGUGCGAAAAGCGUGGGGAGCAAAACAGGAUUAGAUACC
RNAcentral lists this ribosomal RNA (456 nucleotides) under uncultured bacterium. RNAcentral describes it as "bacterial SSU rRNA". It matches the Rfam family "Bacterial small subunit ribosomal RNA", at positions 340 to 786 of the family's 1533-position model. The record is from RNAcentral.